CAGGUUUACUGUCUAGGACUUUGUCAGUGCAAGGACAUGGGACUGAGGCCUGGGCUUUCUUCUGGGCAGGGUUCUUCAGAAUCUGGCUCAGACUGUGAGUAAAAGAACAAAGAGGAGCUAAGAGAAAGAAGAUCAGGGAGUGAUCUUUCAUACCGGACAAGUAAGAUCCAGAAACACCAUUGUUUUUGAAGACAAAAUGUGCUUGACGUUUGUAAAGAUGAAAGCCCAGGCAGACCUGACACUUGGAAUCCUGGAUGAAGGUGUGAGCCCACAGAAGAAACCUGCUAAGGGCGGCAACCAUGUGUGUUCUCCUGGAAGUAGGACGCGAUUAUGUGAUUAUUUGUUGACUGGAAAAAGCAAUUUAAGAGAAAAAUAAAUGGAACUGGGCUUUCA
Long non-coding RNA from Nycticebus coucang (slow loris), 393 nucleotides. RefSeq lists it as uncharacterized. The record is from RefSeq and is a predicted model, not a curated record. NCBI's taxonomy places the organism in Eukaryota, Metazoa, Chordata, Mammalia, Primates, Lorisidae. The transcript is spliced from 2 exons.